This 700-nucleotide ribosomal RNA is filed under the name uncultured bacterium. RNAcentral's name for it is "bacterial SSU rRNA". It matches the Rfam family "Bacterial small subunit ribosomal RNA", at positions 59 to 729 of the family's 1533-position model. The record is from RNAcentral.
CAGUCGAACGAAGAGCGAUGGAAGCUUGCUUCUAUCAAUCUUACUGUGCGAACGGGUGAGUAACGCGUAAUCAACCUGCCCUUCAGAGGGGGACAACAGUUGGAAACGACUGCUAAUACCGCAUACGAUCUAAUCUCGGCAUCGAGGAUAGAUGAAAGGUGGCCUCUACAUGUAAGCUAUCACUGAAGGAGGGGAUUGCGUCUGAUUAGCUAGUUGGAGGGGUAACGGCCCACCUAGGCGACGAUCCCUAGCUGGUCUGAGAGGAUGACCAGCCACACUGGAACUGAGACACGGUCCAGACUCCUACGGGAGGCAGCAGUGGGGAAUAUUGCACAAUGGGCGCAAGCCUGAUGCAGCCAUGCCGCGUGUAUGAAGAAGGCCUUCGGGUUGUAAAGUACUUUCAGCGAGGAGGAAGGCGUUGUGGUUAAUAACCGCAACGAUUGACGUUACUCGCAGAAGAAGCACCGGCUAACUCCGUGCCAGCAGCCGCGGUAAUACGUAGGUGGCAAGCGUUGUCCGGAAUUAUUGGGCGUAAAGCGCGCGCAGGCGGAUAGGUCAGUCUGUCUUAAAAGUUCGGGGCUUAACCCCGUGAUGGGAUGGAAACUGCCAAUCUAGAGUAUCGGAGAGGAAAGUGGAAUUCCUAGUGUAGCGGUGAAAUGCGUAGAUAUUAGGAAGAACACCAGUGGCGAAGGCGACUUUC